UCUGCAGCUUUAAGCGCGGCUGUCAAACUCGUUUUGUGUGUGGGGCGUGUGCGGCGUAUCUUAACAAUCGUACCCAGCAGUUCCUGCUCAUUUGCGUCACACUACUAUGUACGGCCGAAUCUUGUAGUUUUUUUUUUCUUUUUUAACUCCAUCGGGGUCAUUCUUUGGUAAACGCCCUCUUAUUGUACCACAGGACGGGCAGCCAUUCUUUUAAACUUUUUUUGACUUCAGCGGCACGUUGUGUCGGCGGACUCUUUCGCGUUUUAAAGCAUUUAUUGACUUUUUUCACUAAGAAUGAGUAUGAAUGACCGAGAUGAUGUGCGUCUGGACGUGGAGAUGGAAGAAGUGGAGAAGCUCUCCGGUAUCUAUAAUGACAAGGAUCUUGUUGAACAGGAAUUUUAUCCAACCUAUGGAGCAUUUAAUGAUGGAUCAGACAUGCCAAAACCUGAAUGGGUGGAGGUUAACCAGCAGAGUGACUCCGUGUUUUUUAAUGAUGGUAAACGAAGGAUUGAUUUUGUUUUGGCCUAUGAAGAUGAGGACAUGAAAGAAUAUGAAAAAAGAUAUCAUUUUCAGAGAAAAAAGAUGAAAAGGGAACAUUACGAAGCAAGUCUUAUUAAAAUGGGUCUAGAACUGGAAGCAGCACGCUCUGUUGUGGAAGAGAAAUUAGUUUUUGUUAAAGUUCAUACACCCUGGGAUGUUCUCUGUACAUAUGCUGAAGUAAUGCACCUUCAAAUGCCCAUCCAGAUCAAUGAUUUAAAGAGCAGAACUUCUACAUUUAACUGCUUCACUAAGAUCUUUUCUCCAAGUGAGGAUAUAAUCCAUCCUGAAACAGAAUAUUUUACUGCCCCUUUUGAAAAGGAUAGGAUUAAUCAUUUUCUAAUUGAAGAUCAAGAAACUUUUUUUAAUCCAUCAACUCGAAGCAGAAUUGCAAAUUAUAUUUUGAGCCGUGCAAACUAUGAGAUGACCGACAAAGUAAGAAAAUUUGGGAUCAACAAACUGUUGGAUACUGGAGUGUACAAGGCUGCCUUUCCAUUACAUGAUUGUAGAUUCAACGUCAAGUCAGAAGAUUUAAAAUGUCCCAAUGAACGGUACCUUCUGUAUAGAGAAUGGGCACAUCCUAGGAGCUUUUAUAAGCUGCAGCCUUUGGAUUUAAUAAGAAAGUAUUAUGGAGAAAAGGUUGGAAUUUACUUUGCCUGGCUUGGUUUUUACACCAAGAUGUUGGUCGUUGCAGCAUUUUUUGGAUUAUGUUGUUUUAUCUAUGGAUAUAAAACAAGAGAUACAAAUACCUGGAGCAUAGAGGUAUGUGAUCCUGAAGUUGGAGGACGAAUAAUAAUGUGCCCGCAGUGUGACAGAGAGUGCACGUACUGGAAACUGAAUAGCACCUGUGAAUCAACUAAGAAACUCUCCAUUUUUGACCAUUAUGGUACAUUGGUAUUUGCAGUGCUAAUGUCAAUAUGGGUUACUAUUUUUUUGGAGUUUUGGAAGAGGCAUCAAGCAGAGCUGAAUUAUGAGUGGGACACUGCUGAAUUUUUGGAGCAGGAAGAACUACCACGACCAGAAUAUGAAGCCAAGUGUAAAUAUGAGAAAAUAAAUCCUGUCACAAAGGAAAAAGAAUUAGUUCCACACAGAACAUGUGAAAAGUGCUUGAGAGUGUCCUGUGGAGUAGGAACAGUCUUGUUUUGGAUUGUGCUGAUUGUUGCUUCAGUAGUGGGAAUUAUAGUCUAUCGCCUUUCAGUUUUCUUUGUCUUUGCUGCAAAAAUGCAACAUGAUCUGAAAGAACUUGAGCCUUUGAAGGAAUACUUGACCCCACAGAUGGCUACUUCAGUAACAGCUUCCAUUAUCAGUUUUAUUAUCAUCAUGAUUUUAAAUAUGGUGUAUGAAAAGGUGGCAAUAAUGAUUACAGAUUUUGAACUGCCUAGAACACAAACUGAUUAUGAAAACAGUUUGACCUUGAAGAUGUUCCUGUUCCAGUUUGUCAACUACUAUUCCUCUUGCUUUUAUAUCGCCUUCUUCAAAGGCAAGAUUGUUGGCUACCCAAAAUCCCCUGUAUAUUGGCUGGGUAAAUACAGGAAUGAAGAGUGUGAUCCCAGUGGCUGCCUUGUUGAGUUGACAACACAGCUUACAAUUGUCAUGGGAGGUAAAGCCAUCUGGAAUAACAUACAAGAAGUGCUUUUGCCAUGGAUAAAAAAUAUAAUUGGCCGUUAUAAAGCAGGAAAACCUGCAGAAAGACAAAUUCCACGAUGGGAGCAAGAUUAUGAACUUCAGUCUUUGGGAAAACUAGGAUUAUUUUAUGAAUAUCUUGAAAUGGUCAUCCAAUUUGGCUUUGUGACUUUAUUUGUGGCAUCUUUUCCUCUUGCCCCACUUCUUGCACUUCUCAAUAACUUGUUUGAGAUUCGAGUGGAUGCCUGGAAACUGACUACACAGUACCGUCGCGUUGUGCCUGAGAAAGCACAGGAUAUUGGGGCAUGGCAGCCAAUUCUUCAAGGGAUUGCUAUUUUGGCUGUGGUAACAAAUGCUAUGAUCAUUGCUUUUACAUCUGAUAUGAUUCCUCGCUUAGUUUACUACUGGUCUCUCUCAGUGGAACCAUACACAGACCAGUAUUCUCCAACAAAUCCUGAUAACAUGAACAAUACCAUGAAAGGCUACAUCAACAGUACACUGUCUGUCUUCAAUAUCUCUGAUUUUUCAGACAGGAGCAAACCAAACAAGUUACCCAUGUGGUUUAACAAUGAAACAGAUACAACUUGCAGGUAUCGAGAUUUCAGGUAUCCACCAGGACACCCUCAUGAGUACAUGCUAAGCAUCUAUUAUUGGCACGUGAUUGCAGCUAAGCUGGCUUUCAUAAUUGUCGUAGAGCACAUUGUCUACUUCACAAAGUUUCUUCUGGAAUACUUGAUUCCUGAUGUCCCUGCAACAGUUAAGGAACAAAUAAAGAGAGAGAGCUACCUGACCCAGAAAAAGCUCCAUGAAACAAACCUUAAACUUGUGAGAAAGCGUGUGGGAUCCAUGGCUAACAAGCUCAUCAAGGACAAUGAAAUUCCAUUUGAACUGAUUACACCUAAGUAAUGGACCUUGGCAUGCAUAUAAUCAUGAAAUAUUUUGCACAGUACCUACUGCAGACAUCACGUGGCUCCAUUCCUUUUAGCUUUUGUACACCCCUACACAUCAACACCCUUUGACUGUCUUAUCCACAAUGACAAAAAAAACCCUGGAGGAGGACCAUUGAUGAAUGUCAGCCUCUCUCUUCUUGACCCUCUGUAACCCCUAUGAACUGGCCUACCCUGAGCCUUUUAAUUUACUUACUGCAGUUGUUUCAUCUUUUAAAGUCCACUUAAUUUAUCUGGAAUAAACCAAAGAGUUGGCGUUGCAUUGCAAAAGACUAACACAGUGACUUUUAAAUCACAUAGGGUUAUUGACAACUGGUGAUCACAACACUCCUUAUGUUCUUCACUAUAUCAAGGAGGUCUCUUUCUGUUUAGAGACAGAGCUGCCUAAACUUAAACCUAAGCCUAACCUAAAGUUAACAGAUGCAAGUAUUGGCAUCUUUUCUCAGGAUGUAGGGGGGCUUCCCUUGUAAAACACAGAAAACCCACUUACAGCAGAAUCACCGGCAACAUGAUGUGUCAAAAGUGUGAUAGGCCCCUUGAGACACAGCUCUGUGCACCGAGCAUUACUACUCAGUCAUCUAGGAGGAUUUUUUUUUUGUUCAUGCUUAGGCUGUUUCAUUCAUAAAUGACAUGGGAUGCAUUUGAUCAGAACAAAGAAAACACAUGAAUAACGAUGUUUAUUAACAGUCAGCUGGUAAUGUAAAAUACCGUAGAUGUUAAGGAUAUUUCUGUUCCAUAGUUUUUAACCUUAUUUAACUAAUCCAUAAGAGUUUGUGUCAUUUAUAAUGCAUAGUAUUCUAUACGUGGCAUACUGUAUUUAUGUGCAACUUUUAACAAAAGGGAAAACACUCCCUGAGUUUAUGUGAAAGGUUAUCAUUUCAUGUUUAACACUUUCUGUUCAUAUCUGUGGUUAAUGUUUAGAGAGAAUUGAAAUUUUAUUUGUCAACAUGAGCGCUAAAUUAUCCAUGUGAAUUUGAUUUACAGGUAGGAUUACUGAAGGAGGUCAUGAAAAAUGAUUUUAAUGUGUACGGAUACAGAGGAGAAACAAAUGUGUUUGUCAGUGCCACUACAAUCUACCUCAUACAGUCCAGUAAAAUGGUGAUCACACCAAUAGGAUGGCCAUUUCUUUGAAGGAGACUACAAUACCCAUACCAUAUCUAAUUUGGCUGAAUAUGUUAGUACAGUCUCUUUAAAUUUAUAUUCAUGAGUACAAUUUGACUGUGUCAGCAAUUGUUUUCGGCUGUGGUUAUUAUAAUACAAGUAAAGGUUAUCCUGUUGUAAUAAAUAAUAAGGAAUAGUAUAUCUUUUUUUUCAAAAUUCUUUCAUAAUCUUCUUUUAUUGAUGUGACAAGUACGCCCAGCUCCAUUACACCUGCAGUGGAACACUGUGGUGUUGAAAAUAAAGUAAGAAAAUCGAUCGGAUAUGAUAUUUUUUUUUUUUUGAAAGCUUUGUACUUGAAUUUCACAUUUGUGUAUUUGUGUUCACAAUUCUCUUUCUAAGUUCCUUCUCUGUUUUUUUUUUUUUAAUUCAAAAUUUGUGUUUAAUAUUGCAUUUAGUAGUCAGCCAUUUCAAAUGUUUGCAUGCAAAUAUGAAAUAUGUAAAUGUGUGAAAAAUGUUCUAUAAACACUUAUUAACACUAGAAAGGAAAAAAACUCCCUGUGUAUGUACAGUAUUUUAUUGUGCAUUGUUCUAUUUUGUUUAAAAAAAUAAAUCCUAAUGUGUACAUUUUCAUAA
Erpetoichthys calabaricus (reedfish) is the source of this 4841-nucleotide RNA transcript. It is a transcript of the gene named anoctamin 6, with no coding region annotated. The record is from RefSeq and is a predicted model, not a curated record. Lineage: Eukaryota; Metazoa; Chordata; Cladistia; Polypteriformes; Polypteridae. The transcript has 21 exons.